UGAGCUUUGUGUAUUGUAGAAACUCAAUUAUCUAGCCUGGCCCAGAGGAGGAGUUUUGUGUUGCAUAAAUUGUGAGUUCUGUGUGCCAGUAAAUCAGUCUUGUUCCAGCAUUAAGCCUUGGCUCAUGUUUGGGGGAAGGGAUACCUACACUCUGGGGAUUGCUAUAAUCACUUACUCCCCAGAGGAAGCUCUUGCAAUAGCUUGAUUUGUUCCUGUUCCUGCUCUCUGGGGAAAGAGAGGUUCACCCACUGGAAGCUGGAUCCUGGCCUUGGGUCCAGGGUGGGUGGAAAC
RNAcentral lists this long non-coding RNA (291 nucleotides) under Pelobates cultripes (western spadefoot toad). Lineage: Eukaryota; Metazoa; Chordata; Amphibia; Anura; Pelobatidae. The record is from RNAcentral.